This is a small nuclear RNA of Physeter macrocephalus (sperm whale), 107 nucleotides long. NCBI's taxonomy places the organism in Eukaryota, Metazoa, Chordata, Mammalia, Artiodactyla, Physeteridae. The record is from Ensembl.
GUGCUUGCUUCAGCAGCACAAAUACUAAUACUGAAAUGAUACAGAGAAGAUUAGCAUGGUCCCUUUGCAAAGAUGAUACACCAAUUUGUGAAACGUUCCAUAUUUUA